RNAcentral lists this transfer RNA (73 nucleotides) under Papyrocranus congoensis. Its description in RNAcentral is "tRNA-Thr". It matches the Rfam family "tRNA". From Rfam's summary of the family: Transfer RNA (tRNA) molecules are approximately 80 nucleotides in length. The record is from RNAcentral. Lineage: Eukaryota; Metazoa; Chordata; Actinopteri; Osteoglossiformes; Notopteridae.
GCCCUAGUAGCUUAAAUGUUAAAGCACCGGUCUUGUAAUCCGGAAAUUGAAGGUUGAAACCCCUCCUAGUGCC